Molecule: unclassified non-coding RNA, 476 nt
Filed under: Hevea brasiliensis (rubber tree)
Lineage: Eukaryota; Viridiplantae; Streptophyta; Magnoliopsida; Malpighiales; Euphorbiaceae
Source: RNAcentral
GCUGGAGAUAUCAAGCACAACCAAUCCCCGAAUGCGUCCAAAUCCUUCAGGCAAGAACCGCAAGCGUCGGCCGGAGAGACUAAUUCGAUCCAUUUCCUUCUCAUUCGCGUCCUGAAGAAUCCUCGCAACCUCCUCAUUGACCUCCUCGCUAACUGGAUCCAAGUGUUCUUCCUCCUGCAGCCCUCUCUCAGCCGACUCGUAAAUCUUCACCAACCUCUCCUCUGCUUCCUUCAACAUCUUCUCAUACGCCUCGUGCAUCUCAUCCAGUUGCACAAUUGCCUUAUACCCCUGCUUCUCUUUAUCCGCCGCCUGGCGGCACUCGUUCUCUUUCUCAGCAAGAUGCGCCCUCCACUCAAGCAACUCGACAUCCGCCGGCCUAGACGAAAGCACGAUUUCCUGAAGCUUGGCAGACAAAUUAACUUCUACCUCAGCGAGCUUAGCCUUGGCAGUAUCAACAGCCUCAUGGUCUGGUCUCU